CCUACGGGUGGCAGCAGUGGGGAAUAUUGGACAAUGGGGGCAACCCUGAUCCAGCCAUGCCGCGUGUGUGAAGAAGGCCCUCGGGUUGUAAAGCACUUUCAGUGAGGAAGAACGCCUGGUGGUUAAUACCCAUCAGGAAAGACAUCACUCACAGAAGAAGCACCGGCUAACUCCGUGCCAGCAGCCGCGGUAAUACGGAGGGUGCGAGCGUUAAUCGGAAUUACUGGGCGUAAAGCGCGCGUAGGUGGCUUGAUAAGCCGGUUGUGAAAGCCCCGGGCUCAACCUGGGAACGGCAUCCGGAACUGUCAAGCUAGAGUGCAGGAGAGGAAGGUAGAAUUCCCGGUGUAGAGGUGAAAUGCGUAGAGAUCGGGAGGAAUACCAGUGGCGAAGGCGGCCUUCUGGACUGACACUAACACUGAGGUGCGAAAGCGUGGGUAGCAAACAGGAUUAGAUACCCUGGUAGUC
RNAcentral lists this ribosomal RNA (465 nucleotides) under Vreelandella stevensii. RNAcentral describes it as "partial 16S ribosomal RNA". It matches the Rfam family "Bacterial small subunit ribosomal RNA", at positions 338 to 795 of the family's 1533-position model. Lineage: Bacteria; Pseudomonadati; Pseudomonadota; Gammaproteobacteria; Oceanospirillales; Halomonadaceae. The record is from RNAcentral.